CAUGCUUAGGAUUUCUAACUUAACGACUGUGCAGUCGAGACCUUUAGCAAGCCCCUCCUCAAGGUAGCGGGGCUUGGAAUAGAAGAGGGGGCGGCGUAAUCGAAGACGGAACGAAUAGGUCAGGGUGGAGGGGCUGUCACUCCGCCUCCGGUACGGCGGCGCCGGCAGCGUCGCACGCAGGUCCGGCCGGGGAGGCGCACGAGGAGCGGCUGCGACUCCGUGGUCCUGCUGCGCGAGAAACAAGGCAGAACCCGCAUCGGCUCGCGGUCGGCAGAGCUCCACAGUCCAGCGCGGCGGCGCAGUCCGCAGGUUCCGCCGGGGAGGAGCACGAGGAGCGGCUGCGGCCCCGUGGAACUGCGGCACGAGAGGCAAAGCAAACCCCGCGUCGGCUCACGGCGACGCCGUCCGCAGCUCCGGCGGAGGUAAGCUCGCGAGGAGCGACUGCUGCUCGUGGCCUGGCGGCCAAAAGUCCCAAGUAUGACUCGCCAGGACGUCGGUGCGGGCUCGACGCGUCGAGCGGAGGUUGGGACGUCGUCGGCGACGGAACGGCACGCUGGCCGCUCCGGGGCGGUGCUGGAGGAUGAAAGCAGAAGAGGUCGAAGGACGAGAGAAUGAGGAACGCCGUCGAUUCGAAAAGUCUCCUCCUUAGGAAUUACCACUUGAUGCUCCAGUCCCCUUUUCAUCGGUUAUCGAGCUCGCCACGCGAACUAAGUACAGUGACAGCGUCCCGGUGACCAGGAAGCCCUCCGCCGCUCCGUCUGACCUUCGUCCGUACCAUCCGUGUCGUCCGCAAACGCCGUCAACGUCUGUCCCGAUCAUUAAAGUCCGAAGUCAAGUACCGUCCCGACUACUGCACAGUUACCGCCUACCUCUAGAAUUUCUUCUUGGACUUCAGGUAAAGAGCAGAAAGUCGACACCUCCUCCACCGAUGUAUACUAUGUCUUCUGGUAUAAAAACGACUGCCACUACUGAGGUGUUUGCGCUCGUCGACGACGCUCAGUUGAUGGUUUCAGCGAGCACCUAGGUGGUGGCUGCUGCUACUACCGCGGUGUUGUCGAUUCGCCCGUGCUGAACUACUUACUUUUUUGCCGGCGAAGGAGGCCUAAAACAAAAAAAAAAUAAAAAAGCGUGCGCAAAAACCGAAAAAUUUGCCCAAAGAAAAGGCCAAAAAGCUGCAAAACCAAAAGGUAGCUAGUAGGAAUCGAAAAGCUGUUUUUUUUAACGCGCUUUUUGUGCAAACAAAGAAGAAAGCGCUCUCAGUGCCAAAACGAAAGCGCUCGAGCCUUGCCUUUUUUUACGUAAAAGACAAUAAAAGGAAAGGGUUCUCAGUGCCAAAACGAAGACGCUCUCCAUGCCUACACAAAAGCGCUCUCAGUGCAGGCACGGACAGCUUUUGCUUUUUUUACACAAAAAACAAAAAAAAGAAAGCGUUAUUCGUACCAAAACGAAGGUACUCUCAGUGCCGACACGGAAAGCAUUUGCUUUUUUCUUGUGCAAAAGACAAAAGAAAAAGAAAGCGCUCUCAGUGCCAAAACGAAAGCGCUCUCCAUGCCAACACGAAAGCGCUCUCAGUGCCGGCACGGAGAGCCUUUGUUUUUUUUACGUAAAAGAUAAAAAAAAGGAAAGCGCUAUCAGUGCUAAAACGAAGGUGCUUUCCGUUCCAACACGAAAGCGCUCUCAGUGCUGGCACGGAGGAGCUUUUGCUUUUUUUUGUACAAAAGAGAAAAAAAAAGAAGGCGUUCCCAGUGCCAAAACAAAGGCGCUCUCCGUGCCAACACUAGUACUCUCCGUGCCCGCACGGAAAAAACCUUUCCCUUUUUUAGGCACGAGGACUAAGCCAAAAAAGCACUUUUUUCUCAAGCAGUUUUGGAUAGUUGUACCCUAGAUCAAAACUUCUAGAGCUGCGCUCCUUAGGUUACUACUAUCGCCAAGCUCUAUACCUGUGUGCCAAACUCUCUAUUUUGUAAAACUUAUUUACUUAAAUGCUUUUUUCUUUUUGAGAGUAACGGUGUUCACUGCGCUACGUACACGCAGUGAACAGUGUUGGUUCCCUCAAACUCACUAGAAACGUUACUCAUGAGGAGUUGAUCACUAUAGCUGAACAACUGGUAUGAACACAAAAGAUAGUAUUGUUAGGGGUGUUCCAAGGGAUUUUUUUUUUAGGGGUGUUCCACGUAUGGGAUAGGUGAGAGUGCCUUAUUUUGGUCGGUAAAUACGUUCCAAACACUAAAUAACAACCACAGAAAAAAAUUGAGCCUUCUUAUUCAUUUUAUUCUUAAAUAUAAUAAAAAGAAACUCAUUCAUUUUAUUCUUGUUUACUACAAGGUACGUGGUCUUUCGAUGUUUGUUUGAACGUACUGUUUUUUUCUCAAUUGCCAAAAAACGAAGGCUUUAUUUAGAAAUGGAUUAUUAUUUUGUUUGACCCAAAGAAAGCAGGCAGUACCGUAAAAAGUCUUUUCAGGGAGAUAAAGUCUCUUAAGUUGGACGUCAGGACAAUAUUCAGUUUUGCUUAACAAAAAAGCAUAAAAUGUGUUUUCAGAGACAUAAAAGAACUUUAGUUGGGCGGCAGGCCUAAAUUCAGUGUGGGCUUGGCAAUAAAAUGCAAAAAGUUUUUUUGGGACUGCAAAAUCCAUUAAGUAGGCGCCUAGUAUAAAUUUAGUUUGUUUAUGAAAAAAUUUAGUAGGUAUAGAAAAUUUGGCA
This 2700-nucleotide ribosomal RNA is filed under the name Triticum aestivum (bread wheat). RNAcentral describes it as "partial small subunit ribosomal RNA". Lineage: Eukaryota; Viridiplantae; Streptophyta; Magnoliopsida; Poales; Poaceae. The record is from RNAcentral.